GUGGGGAAUCUUCCGCAAUGGACGAAAGUCUGACGGAGCAACGCCGCGUGAGUGAUGAAGGUCUUCGGAUUGUAAAGCUCUGUUAAUCGGGACGAAAGAGCCUAGUGUGAAUAAUGCUAGGAAGUGACGGUACCGGAAUAGAAAGCCACGGCUAACUACGUGCCAGCAGCCGCGGUAAUACGUAGGUGGCAAGCGUUGUCCGGAAUUAUUGGGCGUAAAGCGCGCGAAGGCGGAUCUGCCAGUCUGUCUUAAAAGUUCGGGGCUUAACCCCGUGAGGGGAUGGAAACUACAGAUCUAGAGUAUCGGAGAGGAAAGUGGAAUUCCGAGUGUAGCGGUGAAAUGCGUAGAUAUUAGGAAGAACACCAGUGGCGAAGGCGACUUUCUGGACGAAAACUGACGCUGAGGCGCGAAAGCCAGGGGAGCGAACGGGAUUAGAUACUCGAGUAGUCC
Molecule: ribosomal RNA, 450 nt
Filed under: uncultured bacterium
Lineage: Bacteria
Description: partial 16S ribosomal RNA
Rfam family: Bacterial small subunit ribosomal RNA
Source: RNAcentral